AAGUUUCAAAACAUUUCAAAGAGACCCUGACGGUCACUUAACCCCUGAUGGCGUCCGCUUGCCAUUACAAUGGACAAAAAUGCCCCUCUCUAUUGGAGACUAAAAAUUUUCUCCUCUCUAGAGGGAGGAGAACAACACGAGGAUGGUGGCUUCGGUCGGAGCCGCUAUUGAAGCAGUGGGGAAGGCGGCGGCGAGGCCAUCGGGGAAGAUGGCUAUGGACUUCGUGAUGGGCGGCUUCGCGAUGGUGGUGGCGAAAAGCAGGGCAGCCAUUGAUGUCUUGGAAAAAUCUUGUGGGCAAGCCAGAGUGCCUUCCAUGGUGAUGGUUGUCUCCUUGGUCAUGAAUUGGAGAUUGUCCGAACUCAGCUCUUGAUUUCCACACCUCUCUCUAUGUAUGUCUUGCUCUAUCUUUCUCUAGAGGCAUUGAUGAUGAAGCUCUUGUAGAUUCCUCCAGUAUUUUUCUUUUGUGACUAUUGUGAGACUCCCCUGACAACCUCUACUACCAUUUGUGGACAAAUAAUGUAGAAGUGGGAUGAUGGUACGAAGGUGAAUUUGAGCCUCUCGCCACUUGUUUGUGUCUUUUUUAUGUUCUGAGAUAGGUACCUUGUUCAUCAUUUUGAUCUUUAUUCCUAAAAUAAUACUUUUUUAUGAUAUUUGUGUUUUGAAAUCUUGCAAA
Molecule: long non-coding RNA, 673 nt
Filed under: Elaeis guineensis (African oil palm)
Lineage: Eukaryota; Viridiplantae; Streptophyta; Magnoliopsida; Arecales; Arecaceae
Description: long non-coding RNA (EGUI_LNC067955)
Source: RNAcentral